Molecule: ribosomal RNA, 440 nt
Filed under: uncultured bacterium
Lineage: Bacteria
Description: partial 16S ribosomal RNA
Rfam family: Bacterial small subunit ribosomal RNA
Source: RNAcentral
CCUACGGGGUGCAGCAGUAGGGAAUAUUGCUCAAUGGGGGAAACCCUGAAGCAGCAACGCCGCGUGGAGGAUGAAGGUUCUCGGAUUGUAAACUCCUUUUGUCAGAGAAGAUAAUGACGGUAUCUAACGAAUACGCCCCGGCUAACUCCGUGCCAGCAGCCGCGGUAAUACGGAGGGGGCAAGCAUUACCCGGAAUUACUGGGCGUAAAGAGCGCGUAGGCGGGUGAGCAAGUCAGAUGUGAAAUCCUAUGGCUUAACCAUAGAACUGCUUUUGAAACUGUUGUGCUAGAGUGUGGGAGGGGUAGGUGGAAUUCUUGGUGUAGGGGUGAAAUCCGUAGAGAUGAGGAGGAAUACUGAUUGCGAAGGCGACCUGCUGGAACGUAACUGACGCUGAUGCGCGAAAGCGUGGGGAGCAAACAGGAUUAGAUACCCCAGUAGUC